GCCUGGCUAGUUCAGUAGGUAGAGCAGGGGACUCUUAAUCCCAGGGUCACGGGUUCAAGCCCCAUGUGGGGCA
Molecule: transfer RNA, 73 nt
Filed under: Loxodonta africana (African savanna elephant)
Lineage: Eukaryota; Metazoa; Chordata; Mammalia; Proboscidea; Elephantidae
Rfam family: tRNA
About the family: Transfer RNA (tRNA) molecules are approximately 80 nucleotides in length. Their secondary structure includes four short double-helical elements and three loops (D, anti-codon, and T loops). Further hydrogen bonds mediate the characteristic L-shaped molecular structure. tRNAs have two regions of fundamental functional importance: the anti-codon, which is responsible for specific mRNA codon recognition, and the 3' end, to which the tRNAs corresponding amino acid is attached (by aminoacyl-tRNA synthetases). tRNAs cope with the degeneracy of the genetic code in two manners: having more than one tRNA (with a specific anti-codon) for a particular amino acid; and 'wobble' base-pairing, i.e. permitting non-standard base-pairing at the 3rd anti-codon position.
Source: Rfam by way of RNAcentral